This 253-nucleotide ribosomal RNA is filed under the name uncultured bacterium. RNAcentral's name for it is "partial 16S ribosomal RNA". It matches the Rfam family "Bacterial small subunit ribosomal RNA", at positions 524 to 776 of the family's 1533-position model. The record is from RNAcentral.
UACAGAGGGUGCGAGCGUUAAUCGGAAUUACUGGGCGUAAAGCGUGCGUAGACGGUUAUUUAAGUCGGGUGUGAAAGCCCCGGGCUCAACCUGGGAAUUGCAUUCGAGACUGAAUAGCUAGGGUACGGUAGAGGGAAGCGGAAUUUCCGGUGUAGCGGUGAAAUGCGUAGAUAUCGGAAGGAACAUCAGUGGCGAAAGCGGCUUCCUGGCCUGUUCUUGACGCUGAGGCGCGAAAGCUAGGGUAGCAAACGGG